AGUGAACGCUGGCGGUAGGCCUAACACAUGCAAGUCGAGCGGCAGCACAGUAAGCGCUUGCUCUUGAUGGUGGCGAGUGGCGGACGGGUGAGGAAUACAUCGCAAUCUACUUUUUCUUGGGUGAUAACGUAGAGAAACUUCCGCUAAUACCUCAUACGAUCUACGGGUUAAAUCAGAAGAUCUUCACACCUUUGCCGUCUGAUAUAGCCGGUGUCGCAUUAGCUAGUUGGCGGGGUAAGGGCCCACCAAGGCGACGAUCCGUAGCUGAUCUGAGAGGAUGAUCAGCCACACUGGAACUGAGACACGGUCCAGACUCCUACGGGAGGCAGCAGUAGGGAAUCUUGGGCAAUGGGCGCAAGCCUGAUGCAGCAAUACCGCGUGGGUGAUGAAGGUCUUCGGGUCGUAAAGCUCUGUUGUUAGGGAAGAACAUCUGUAUAUGUAUCUCUGGACGUCUUGACGGUACCCAAAGAGUAAGCACCGGCUAACUACGUG
RNAcentral lists this ribosomal RNA (492 nucleotides) under uncultured bacterium. RNAcentral describes it as "partial 16S ribosomal RNA". It matches the Rfam family "Bacterial small subunit ribosomal RNA", at positions 29 to 507 of the family's 1533-position model. The record is from RNAcentral.